This 253-nucleotide ribosomal RNA is filed under the name uncultured bacterium. RNAcentral describes it as "partial 16S ribosomal RNA". It matches the Rfam family "Bacterial small subunit ribosomal RNA", at positions 524 to 776 of the family's 1533-position model. The record is from RNAcentral.
UACGUAGGGUGCAAGCGUUGUCCGGAAUUAUUGGGCGUAAAGAGCUCGUAGGCGGUUUGUUGCGUCGGCUGUGAAAUCCCGAGGCUCAACCUCGGGUCUGCAGUCGAUACGAGCAAACUAGAGUGUCGCAGGGGAGACUGGAAUUCCUGGUGUAGCGGUGAAAUGCGCAGAUAUCAGGAGGAACACCGGUGGCGAAGGCGGGUCUCUGGGCCGUAACUGACGCUGAGGAGCGAAAGCAUGGGGAGCGAACAGG